Molecule: ribosomal RNA, 490 nt
Filed under: Bacillus sp. RHF120
Lineage: Bacteria; Bacillati; Bacillota; Bacilli; Caryophanales; Bacillaceae
Description: bacterial SSU rRNA
Rfam family: Bacterial small subunit ribosomal RNA
Source: RNAcentral
AGAGUUUGAUCCUGGCUCAGGACGAACGCUGGCGGCGUGCCUAAUACAUGCAAGUCGAGCGAAUCGACGGGAGCUUGCUCCCUGAGAUUAGCGGCGGACGGGUGAGUAACACGUGGGCAACCUGCCUAUAAGACUGGGAUAACUUCGGGAAACCGGAGCUAAUACCGGAUACGUUCUUUUCUCGCAUGAGAGAAGAUGGAAAGACGGUUUACGCUGUCACUUAUAGAUGGGCCCGCGGCGCAUUAGCUAGUUGGUGAGGUAAUGGCUCACCAAGGCGACGAUGCGUAGCCGACCUGAGAGGGUGAUCGGCCACACUGGGACUGAGACACGGCCCAGACUCCUACGGGAGGCAGCAGUAGGGAAUCUUCCGCAAUGGACGAAAGUCUGACGGAGCAACGCCGCGUGAACGAAGAAGGCCUUCGGGUCGUAAAGUUCUGUUGUUAGGGAAGAACAAGUACCAGAGUAACUGCUGGUACCUGACGGUACCUAA